GAUGAACGCUGGCGGCGUGCCUAAUACAUGCAAGUCGAGCGAACAGAUAAGGAGCUUGCUCCUUUGACGUUAGCGGCGGACGGGUGAGUAACACGUGGAUAACCUACCUAUAAGACUGGGAUAACUUCGGGAAACCGGAGCUAAUACCGGAUAACAUAUUGAACCGCAUGGUUCAAUAGUGAAAGGCGGCUUUGCUGUCACUUAUAGAUGGAUCCGCGCCGUAUUAGCUAGUUGGUAAGGUAACGGCUUACCAAGGCAACGAUACGUAGCCGACCUGAGAGGGUGAUCGGCCACACUGGAACUGAGACACGGUCCAGACUCCUACGGGAGGCAGCAGUAGGGAAUCUUCCGCAAUGGGCGAAAGCCUGACGGAGCAACGCCGCGUGAGUGAUGAAGGUCUUCGGAUCGUAAAACUCUGUUAUCAGGGAAGAACAAAUGUGUAAGUAACUGUGCACAUCUUGACGGUACCUGAUCAGAAAGCCACGGCUAACUACGUGCCAGCAGCCGCGGUAAUACGUAGGUGGCAAGCGUUAUCCGGAAUUAUUGGGCGUAAAGCGCGCGUAGGCGGUUUUUUAAGUCUGAUGUGAAAGCCCACGGCUCAACCGUGGAGGGUCAUUGGAAACUGGAAAACUUGAGUGCAGAAGAGGAAAGUGGAAUUCCAUGUGUAGCGGUGAAAUGCGCAGAGAUAUGGAGGAACACCAGUGGCGAAGGCGACUUUCUGGUCUGUAACUGACGCUGAUGUGCGAAAGCGUGGGGAUCAAACAGGAUUAGAUACCCUGGUAGUCCACGCCGUAAACGAUGAGUGCUAAGUGUUAGGGGGUUUCCGCCCCUUAGUGCUGCAGCUAACGCAUUAAGCACUCCGCCUGGGGAGUACGACCGCAAGGUUGAAACUCAAAGGAAUUGACGGGGACCCGCACAAGCGGUGGAGCAUGUGGUUUAAUUCGAAGCAACGCGAAGAACCUUACCAAAUCUUGACAUCCUUUGACCGCUCUAGAGAUAGAGUCUUCCCCUUCGGGGGACAAAGUGACAGGUGGUGCAUGGUUGUCGUCAGCUCGUGUCGUGAGAUGUUGGGUUAAGUCCCGCAACGAGCGCAACCCUUAAGCUUAGUUGCCAUCAUUAAGUUGGGCACUCUAAGUUGACUGCCGGUGACAAACCGGAGGAAGGGUGGGGGAUGACGUCAAAUCAUCAUGCCCCUUAUGAUUUGGGCUACACACGUGCUACAAUGGACAAUACAAAGGGCAGCUAAACCGCGAGGUCAAGCAAAUCCCAUAAAGUUGUUCUCAGUUCGGAUUGUAGUCUGCAACUCGACUACAUGAAGCUGGAAUCGCUAGUAAUCGUAGAUCAGCAUGCUACGGUGAAUACGUUCCCGGGUCUUGUACACACCGCCCGUCACACCACGAGAGUUUGUAACACCCGAAGCCCGGUGGAGUAACCAUUUAUGGAGCUAGCCGU
This 1452-nucleotide ribosomal RNA is filed under the name Staphylococcus warneri. Its description in RNAcentral is "bacterial SSU rRNA". It matches the Rfam family "Bacterial small subunit ribosomal RNA". Lineage: Bacteria; Bacillati; Bacillota; Bacilli; Caryophanales; Staphylococcaceae. The record is from RNAcentral.